RNAcentral lists this long non-coding RNA (1840 nucleotides) under Cricetulus griseus (Chinese hamster). Its description in RNAcentral is "lncRNA (ENSCGRG00015036844.1)". The record is from RNAcentral. Lineage: Eukaryota; Metazoa; Chordata; Mammalia; Rodentia; Cricetidae.
CCAGGUUAAAUGGCCAAACUCAGAACGGAAUAAAAGAGGCAAGAGGUAUAAGAAAGCCUGCUGGGCACCAGCCUCUCUCUUUACUUCCUGGCUGUGGAUGCAAUGUGACUAGUUGCCUGCGACCCUGCUGCCACAGCUGGAGCUGCUCUUCAUGCUAUGCUUCUCUACAGGGCUGGAUGAUGCCUUCAAGCACUGAGCCCAAAGGAGCCUUAGAUUGUCAGGUACCCCCCUCCAGUCUGCUUUGUGUGCCACUCUUCUAAACACAAAAGGAGGUGCCUUGCUGCCUCUGAUGUGUUUGGAGCAAGGCUGAAGAGGCUGCCAAGAAGCUUCAGUUCAGCUUCUUGAAGAUUUCAGUCCUGGCUACCUGUCUGUGGAAGGUUUGGCAGCACAAAUUUCCCACCAAAGAAACUUUUGUGGGUUGGUUAGUUACUUACAAGUCAACUUCACACAAAUCUAGGCAUAGCUUGGAAGAAGGACUUUUAAUUGAGAAAAUGCCUCCACCAGAUUGGUCUGUAGGCGUGUCUGUGGGGAUAUUGUCUUGGUUAAUGAUUGAUGUGGGAGGGCCCAGCUUAUUGUAGGAGGUGCCAGUCUUGGACAGGUGGUCUUAGGUUGUAUAAGAAAGCAAACUGAGCAAGCCAUCGAGAGAAACCCAGUAAAGAGCAUUUCCUCCAUGUCUUCUGCUUCAGUUUCUGCUUCCCGGUUCCUGCUCUGCUUGAGUCCCUGUCUUGACUUGCCCGAAUGAUGGAUUGUGACUGGGGCAUGGAAGCCAAAUAAACCCUUUUCUUCCAAAGUUGCUUUUGGUGUUUACUAUAGCAACAGAAAAGUAAUGAAGAGACCAGUUGAGUCCCUAUUUAGGGAAGACCUAUUGAGAAGCCCUCUAGGUAACUUCUGGUGGCCAGAGUAAUGAAGGAAAGAAAAAGGCAUCUCAGAACUUCAGUGUCCUCUAUUUCUUUGUAAGAAACAAAGACAGGAAUGUUGUCAUAGACAAUUCAGUUUGUGGAACUCAAUUGUUGACUCAUACAAUUCAAUAAUAGAAAGCACAUCCCUAAAGAUGAUCACAGUAAAUGGACCAAGAGUGCCAUCUUCAACUUGUAGACACUGCCGGGCAGGAUGAAAGCCCUAUUUUCCCCAGGCAUACUUCAUAGACAUCGAUCAAUUUAUUUUUGUGGAUUGUUACUUCAACCAAAAGUUUUCAAAUGACUAAUGUUACCUGUGACAAAUUGUUGGAUGUAUUGAGGAAAGCCCAAUAACUUUUUUUAAAGACUAAUGUAUGGAAAGAGAGAUCAGUUAUACAGAAGGGAAAAUUUGGCAGAAUCUGGAAAUGCUGCUUUUUUGGAAUCCUCUGCUAAAAAACCCAAAAAGGCAGCUGCUGGGAGUUAAAGGGAGGACUGACUAUAGGGGCCCCAGUAUUAGUGUGAUACUUUUGUAAAGGGAUGAUAGUGAGUCUGAAAGGAUGGAUAUCUAGCCCCAUGGGGAAAGUCUUCAUGCUCCGUGAGCUGAACCCAAGGACCCAAGGACCCAAGGACGUGGCACUAAAUUCUACCUGGAGAGCAAACUGUGGUCACCAUUGACAGUAACUGUACCUCUUUUCCCUUCUGCUAAUCUGAGCGAUGGCAUUUGGGUCAGAGCUCCUUCCCUUUCAGGUUAUGUCAAUGUCCGACUCUGUCCAAAUGAGUUUACUUGCAUUUUCAAUUUUUUUAUAUAAACAGUUUAUUUACUCUAAACAGCAACACAGACAAAAUGCCAUAUAAACACAAAGGAAAAGGUGCAGAAUGGAGACGCUGGCCAACUUUGGAUCUGAGGCUCAUAAGCAACAACCCAGGUUUCUGAGGAGGAUGAG